AUGCCGCUGCCACCUCUUUCCGGCGACCACCAUAGCCCUGCACCAAUUAUAAAUCAGUGGGUAUAAAGCUUAAUUUCUCUUUGUCAAAUCAGUUCUAUAUAAACGUAUAUAUACAUGUGGUGUUGUGUUUAUAUGGUUUAAUUUGAUUUAUAUAAUCGAUUUAUGUGUGCUUGUAUGUAUAUAAACUGAUUAUAUGCUGGUUAUUGAAAUUUGAAGGUUGAUUGAAUUUUUGAGAUUGAGAUUGGUGUUAGUAAUCGUAUGAUUGAAUUGUGUGCUUAAUUGAUAUUUGAAUUGGUUGUUGGAGGUUCAUUAUAAAUGGUGCGCCAACUAGUAGUGUAAUCGGAUGACUUGGGUACUUGAUUUAUGGGAAUAUAUAACUGAGUAUUAAAGCUUUAAGGUCUGAGAUUUUGUGUAAAUGUUUUCAGAAUGGUGUUUUAAGAGUUUAAGUAUUGAGCUAAAAAAAAUUUAGAUUUACACAUAAUCGGUUGAAUUGUAAGUUGCUGCUGAUCUGUUUUGCAGUAAAAUUCUGGGCUUCUAGAGUCGAAUUAUAUGCUUAAUAUUUUUGUGGUUAUGUGCUCCUCAGAGUCUAGUUUAUGUGCGCAAAAGAAUCGAAUCAAUUCGAUUAGCGAGCUAGGAGAUAUGACCGUUUUAGUAUAGUAUGGUGCUGAAAAUUCUGGGCAGGUUUGUCCUGUUCCAGGCUCUGUUUUACAGCUUUAAACUUGGAUUUUCUUUCUGAAAAUUUUACUGUAGGUUGGAAUAAUAUUUAGGAGUGUCUCAUAAAAAUUUCGUAUUUAAAAGAUAAAUUUUCAAUUUAUUAAAAAUCAUAGACCGAGGGCUGUUUGAACUAUUUGUUCUAUUUUUCUUUCUUUGCUAGUGCAUAGUAUGAGGUUAUACUUGACUAAUUGCAUAUGAUUGAUUAUUACAUUGAUUGGCUCGGUUAACCUUGUAUAUCUAAUUAAAAGUGUUUUGCGUAUAACAAGUUAGCAAUCCUGCUAAAAGAUUUUAUUAUAUGUUUACUACAAGUCAAGACAGAUUUUCUUAUGUGUUUACUGCAAGUCAAGGGAUCUUUUUAUAUUAAUAAUUCAUGUGUUAGCAAUAGUAUUGGUUGGUUGUUGGCAUUGCAAACAGGUGGAUAAGCUUAUAAACAGAGGAGAUGCUGCCGAAUUUUCGUUAGAAAUUAUAUGGAUUUAAUGCCUAUAAAAAGGGUUGUUUGUACAACUAUGUGCUAUGUGUUUAUGUGACUGUGGUAUGUAUAUGCGAAGGGUAGAUAUAUAUAUAGGUCUUAAUGCAAUUCAGGGUUAGUCAAUAUGUCUAAUCCGACGACUGAAAUACUAUUUUAUCAUCGUAUAGAAUUGAAGACAUUGACCGAGGCAUUAAUCGAGAAGUGAUUGAAAGGGGUAUUCAGAAAUAGCCAAGCAGAAUGUUACAAGUUGAAGUAGGACGGAGAUUUGUUAUAGAUAAAAGUGUGUCAGAAGCUGGCAGAAAGGAAUGAUUAUGCGGUAUAUAGUGUUACUAGGAAUCUGAGCUAAACUUUGGAGUUAAGGCAAGUACUUCUACCUUCUCUCGCAAUUUAGAAGCAAGUAUUUCUACCCUACUCCUCUAGUACCUAUAGAUACUAAAACCUUCUUUAUAUCAUGAUUCAAAUUAUUUGCAAUUACUUUCUUGUGAAGCAUAUCUAGU
This 1680-nucleotide long non-coding RNA is filed under the name Daucus carota (carrot). Its description in RNAcentral is "long non-coding RNA (DCAR_LNC003535)". Lineage: Eukaryota; Viridiplantae; Streptophyta; Magnoliopsida; Apiales; Apiaceae. The record is from RNAcentral.